RNAcentral lists this non-coding RNA (46 nucleotides) under Trichobilharzia regenti. Lineage: Eukaryota; Metazoa; Platyhelminthes; Trematoda; Strigeidida; Schistosomatidae. The record is from RNAcentral.
GUGCUGAUGAAGAGUCCCAAAUUAGGACGAAACAGCUGUCCAGUAC